RNAcentral lists this unclassified non-coding RNA (283 nucleotides) under plant metagenome. RNAcentral describes it as "partial contains small subunit ribosomal RNA and internal transcribed spacer 1". The stretch from base 1 to 52 matches the Rfam family "Eukaryotic small subunit ribosomal RNA", at positions 1778 to 1831 of the family's 1831-position model. The record is from RNAcentral.
GGAAGUAAAAGUCAACAAGGUUUCCGUAGGUGAACCUGCGGAAGGAUCAUUAUUGUAUAACCGAGGUGCGAGGGCUGUCGCUGACCCGAAAGGUCGUGCACGCCCGAGUGCCCUCACACACAUCCAUCUCACCCCUAUGUGCACCACCGCGUGGGUCCCCCUUUGGCUUGUUCGGAGGGGGGCUUACGUUUUCACACAAACUUUGUAUGCAGUGUAGAAUGUAUUUUUUGUUUUUGCGAUCACGCAAUCAAUACAACUUUCAACAGCGGAUCUCUUGGCUCUC